RNAcentral lists this ribosomal RNA (800 nucleotides) under uncultured bacterium. Its description in RNAcentral is "bacterial SSU rRNA". It matches the Rfam family "Bacterial small subunit ribosomal RNA", at positions 8 to 800 of the family's 1533-position model. The record is from RNAcentral.
AGAGUUUGAUCCUGGCUCAGGUUGAACGCUGGCGGCAUGCCUUACACAUGCAAGUCGAACGGCAGCACGGGAGCAAUCCUGGUGGCGAGUGGCGAACGGGUGAGUAAUAUAUCGGAACGUGCCCAGUCGUGGGGGAUAACGCAGCGAAAGCUGUGCUAAUACCGCAUACGAUCUCUGGAUGAAAGCGGGGGACUCGCAAGAGCCUCGCGCGAUUGGAGCGGCCGAUAUCAGAUUAGCUAGUUGGUGGGGUAAAAGCCCACCAAGGCGACGAUCUGUAGCUGGUCUGAGAGGACGACCAGCCACACUGGAACUGAGACACGGUCCAGACUCCUACGGGAGGCAGCAGUGGGGAAUUUUGGACAAUGGGCGAAAGCCUGAUCCAGCAAUGCCGCGUGCAGGAUGAAGGCCUUCGGGUUGUAAACUGCUUUUGUACGGAACGAAACGGUCUCUUCUAAUAAAGGAGGCUAAUGACGGUACCGUAAGAAUAAGCACCGGCUAACUACGUGCCAGCAGCCGCGGUAAUACGUAGGGUGCGAGCGUUAAUCGGAAUUACUGGGCGUAAAGCGUGCGCAGGCGGUUAUAUAAGACAGAUGUGAAAUCCCCCGGGCUCAACCUGGGACCUGCAUUUGUGACUGUAUAGCUAGAGUACGGUAGAGGGGGAUGGAAUUCCGCGUGUAGCAGUGAAAUGCGUAGAUAUGCGGAGGAACACCGAUGGCGAAGGCAAUCCCCUGGACCUGUACUGACGCUCAUGCACGAAAGCGUGGGGAGCAAACAGGAUUAGAUACCCUGGUAGUCCACGC